This 282-nucleotide ribosomal RNA is filed under the name Cercopithifilaria bainae. RNAcentral's name for it is "partial 12S ribosomal RNA". The record is from RNAcentral. Lineage: Eukaryota; Metazoa; Nematoda; Chromadorea; Rhabditida; Onchocercidae.
AUUUUUCUUUGGAAUAUGUAUAUUUUUUGGAAGGCCCUCCUUUUUAGUGGAUCUUAUUGGCACAUGUAAGAAUGUUUAGUUUUUAUUUUUUGUGUGAUGCUUGUUUUCUUUUUGUGUUAAAAAACAGAUAAAUACUUGGCUUAUUGGUCUAUUUAUAUGUAUUACUAUUUUAAAUUUUUUUUGGAUGAUCUUUUAAUUUUUUUCCKAAAUUGGAAAAGAAAGGAAUUUAAUUUUAAAGGGGUUUUKAAUUUAAAAAGCAAAGGGGGACCAACCUUCCGUCAU